This 698-nucleotide ribosomal RNA is filed under the name uncultured bacterium. RNAcentral's name for it is "bacterial SSU rRNA". It matches the Rfam family "Bacterial small subunit ribosomal RNA", at positions 61 to 760 of the family's 1533-position model. The record is from RNAcentral.
GUCGAACGGGAAUUACUUUAUUGAAACUUCGGUCGAUUUAAUUUAAUUCUCGUUGCGGACGGGUGAGUAACGCGUGGGUAACCUGCCUUGUACAGGGGGAUAACAGUCAGAAAUGACUGCUAAUACCGCAUAAGCGCACAGGACCGCAUGGUCCGGUGUGAAAAACUCCGGUGGUAUAAGAUGGACCCGCGUUGGAUUAGCUAGUUGGCAGGGUAACGGCCUACCAAGGCGACGAUCCAUAGCCGGCCUGAGAGGGUGAACGGCCACAUUGGGACUGAGACACGGCCCAGACUCCUACGGGAGGCAGCAGUGGGGAAUAUUGCACAAUGGGGGAAACCCUGAUGCAGCGACGCCGCGUGAAGGAAGAAGUAUCUCGGUAUGUAAACUUCUAUCAGCAGGGAAGAAAAUGACGGUACCUGACUAAGAAGCCCCGGCUAACUACGUGCCAGCAGCCGCGGUAAUACGUAGGGGGCAAGCGUUAUCCGGAUUUACUGGGUGUAAAGGGAGCGUAGACGGAUGGACAAGUCUGAUGUGAAAGGCUGGGGCUCAACCCCGGGACUGCAUUGGAAACUGCCCGUCUUGAGUGCCGGAGAGGUAAGCGGAAUUCCUAGUGUAGCGGUGAAAUGCGUAGAUAUUAGGAGGAACACCAGUGGCGAAGGCGGCUUACUGGACGGUAACUGACGUUGAGGCUCGAAAGC